This 915-nucleotide ribosomal RNA is filed under the name uncultured archaeon. RNAcentral describes it as "bacterial SSU rRNA". It matches the Rfam family "Archaeal small subunit ribosomal RNA", at positions 1 to 922 of the family's 1478-position model. The record is from RNAcentral.
UUCCGGUUGAUCCUGCCAGAGGCCACUGCUAUCGGGGUCCGAUUAAGCCAUGCGAGUCGAGAGGGGUAAAGCCCUCGGCGAACGGCUCAGUAACACGUGGAUAACCUACCCUCAGAUCUGGGAUAACUCCGGGAAACUGGAGAUAAUACCGGAUAAUCCGUGAACGCUGGAAUGCCUUACGGUUGAAAGCUUUAGCGUCUGAGGAUGGGUCUGCGGCCGAUUAGGUAGUUGCUGGGGUAACGUCCCAACAAGCCGAUAAUCGGUACGGGUUGUGAGAGCAAGAGCCCGGAGAUGGAUUCUGAGACACGAAUCCAGGUCCUACGGGGCGCAGCAGGCGCGAAAACUUUACACUGCGCGAAAGCGCGAUAAGGGGACCUCGAGUGCGUGCGCAAUGCGUACGCUUUUCAGAUGCCUAAAAAGCAUCUGGAAUAAGGGCCGGGCAAGACCGGUGCCAGCCGCCGCGGUAACACCGGCGGCUCAAGUGGUGGCCGCUAUUAUUGGGCUUAAAGGGUCCGUAGCCGGACCAGUUAGUCCCUUGGGAAAUCUUACGGCUUAACCGUAAGGCUGCCAAUGGAUACUGCUGGUCUUGGGACCGGGAGAGGUAAGAGGUACCUCAGGGGUAGGAGUGAAAUCCUGUAAUCCUUGAGGGACCGCCAGUGGCGAAGGCGUCUUACUAGAACGGGUCCGACGGUGAGGGACGAAAGCUAGGGGCACGAACCGGAUUAGAUACCCGGGUAGUCCUAGCCGUAAACGAUGCGAGCUAGGUGUCACGUGGAUUGCGAAUCCAUGUGGUGCCGAAGGGAAACCGUGAAGCUCGCCGCCUGGGAAGUACGGCCGCAAGGCUGAAACUUAAAGGAAUUGGCGGGGGAGCACCACAACGGGUGGAGCUGCGGUUUAAUUGGAUUCAACGCCGGA